Molecule: transfer RNA, 82 nt
Filed under: Capitella teleta
Lineage: Eukaryota; Metazoa; Annelida; Polychaeta; Capitellidae
Description: tRNA-Ser for anticodon AGA
Rfam family: tRNA
About the family: Transfer RNA (tRNA) molecules are approximately 80 nucleotides in length. Their secondary structure includes four short double-helical elements and three loops (D, anti-codon, and T loops). Further hydrogen bonds mediate the characteristic L-shaped molecular structure. tRNAs have two regions of fundamental functional importance: the anti-codon, which is responsible for specific mRNA codon recognition, and the 3' end, to which the tRNAs corresponding amino acid is attached (by aminoacyl-tRNA synthetases). tRNAs cope with the degeneracy of the genetic code in two manners: having more than one tRNA (with a specific anti-codon) for a particular amino acid; and 'wobble' base-pairing, i.e. permitting non-standard base-pairing at the 3rd anti-codon position.
Source: Rfam by way of RNAcentral
GCAGUCGUGGCCGAGUGGUUAAGGCGAUAGACUAGAAAUCUAUUGUGCUCUGCCCGCGCAGGUUCGAAUCCUGCCGACUGCG